AUGCCCAGCUUUAGGUUUGAUUUUAUUGAUGAUAAGCUUAUGACUGAACUGUGUGUGUCGGAUGAAAUUAAAGUGGAAAUUUGGGAAAAGAUUGAUGAGGCCCCUCGUGCUGCUGCCGAUGGAUUCCUUCAACGGCAAGGGCUGCCACCUCAGUGUAUAACACACUGCUACAACAACAACUAUUCACCUGAUAACUAUAAUAAAUGGAUUGUGACGGUACGUGAUAAAUUACUGAAAAGGGAAAUGUAUGAUUUUUGGAAAAUCGCGGUAGUGCCCGAGGAGCUAGGUCUUGGGUGGAUCCCAACUUAUUUGACAAUAUGGAUAAACCUGAACCGGCAGCUUGGCCGCUUGGCAUGGCAAAUAAACCAUUCAAGAAGAAUGAACACCUAAAAUUACAUAUGUUAUUUAGUAUGUUAACUUCAUUAAUUGUAUUAGUAUUAAGUAAAACUUUGUUUUAUAUAAGUCAGGAAAUGUCUGACGAUGAUGAAGUUCCUGAAGAUUUUGCUGAUUUUGAUGCCACCUUACCGUUAACGGACCCCGUCACUACAUUUAAAAAGUUAAUUGAUGAAAAGAUGUUCACGGACCUUUUUGUACCCGAUCAUAUGAAAUUUGAAAUUUGGGAUAAACUUGAUGCCGCCGCACGGGAUGCUAUUUGGAAAUUAUUGUUUGGCGAGGAAGCAGAUUUGCAGCAAGCUGGUGCUUUAUUGAAGAACUAUAAAUCCAGAGCGGUUUUCUUCUCACCUGAUAACUACAAUGAAUGGAUAGUUCUGGUACGAGACGAAUUAUUAAAGCGGGAAAUGUUUGAUUUUUGGAAAAACACUGUGGUGGCGGAACAGUUGGGCCCUGCAUGGGCUGCAGAUUCAGAUUUAUAUGAUGACUUGGAUGACCCUGAACCAGCGGCGUUUUAUAACUUUGCUGGUUGUAAGGCUGCUUGGUUAAAAAGUGAAGAAGAGACUCCAGACAGAUAAAUAUUUGGUUUUUUGUUAUUAAAUUAAUUUAAGAAAGUUUCGAAUAUGUAAUUUAACUAUGGCGACAACUCUAAAGACUUAAGAUGUGUAAAUGUUAAAUACGUUUUUAAAAGUUCAAGAAUAGCCUUUGCUUCCUAGUGUUUCAGAAAUGCGUACAUGUAAAUUAAAUAAACAAAACUUCCUAA
RNA transcript from Stomoxys calcitrans (stable fly), 1153 nucleotides. RefSeq lists it as uncharacterized. NCBI's taxonomy places the organism in Eukaryota, Metazoa, Arthropoda, Insecta, Diptera, Muscidae. The record is from RefSeq and is a predicted model, not a curated record. The transcript has 4 exons.